UACGGGGGGAGCAAGCGUUGUUCGGAUUUACUGGGCGUAAAGGGAGCGUAGGCGGCGCGGUAAGUCAGAUGUGAAAUCCCGGGGCUCAACCCCGGAACUGCAUCCGAUACUGCCGUGCUAGAGGAUUGGAGAGGUAGCUGGAAUUCUUGGUGUAGCAGUGAAAUGCGUGGAGAUCAAGAGGAACACUCGUGGCGAAAGCGAGCUACUGGACAAUAUCUGACGCUGAGGCUCGAAGGCCAGGGUAGCAAACGGG
Molecule: ribosomal RNA, 253 nt
Filed under: uncultured bacterium
Lineage: Bacteria
Description: partial 16S ribosomal RNA
Rfam family: Bacterial small subunit ribosomal RNA
Source: RNAcentral